This is a long non-coding RNA of Vulpes vulpes (red fox), 1639 nucleotides long. Ensembl annotates it as guanylate-binding protein 4-like. The record is from Ensembl. NCBI's taxonomy places the organism in Eukaryota, Metazoa, Chordata, Mammalia, Carnivora, Canidae.
UUUGAAUUCCAAGAUAUAAAAGUAUAACAAUGCACACCUACAUACAUCAUAGUCCUAAAAGAGGACUCAGUUUGGGGAAAUACCCAAACAAACUGCCUACAUUUUGACCUCAGUCUGUACUUUUUAACUGAUUAAGUACUCUUAAGACCAGCAAGACCCUAUGUGGUGUCCUCCUUGAAAUAAGUCCCUUUCUGUUUCACCACUGCUGGCCUCUCUGCCUUUGGGUUUUGUCAAUGACAAGUGGCUAGACCCAGUCUGCUUGGGACCCCUGAAGCCAGGUAACCCUUGUGCCCUUGGAUUCUACUAACAGUCCACUUGUGCACAGACAAGCUGGGGACAAAAUAAAGAAGGCUAGUUAGGGCGAUAUUUACUCAGGUCUAACUGCAGAGUGACUGGGAUCCACAAACUGCCCUCUAUACCUUAUCAGGCUCUGGUGGCUUUGCUCCCACAUGCCUUCUCCAAAUAUUUAACACACCAUGAAGUUCUUUUACUAUCACAGUUUCCUCCUCCAUUUCACUCCUCAACUUCCUCAAUUUGUUUUCAGUUUCUGGGGGCGGAGAAAACAGAAAACGGGUGAGUUGAGAGGCAGCUGGAAGCUCAUUCUUGAACAGACCAGCAGGUCUGCAACUAUGGAGCAGGGCUGAGGAUUCUGAUGGUGACCUCUACGGAUGCCUCCAACAGUGGAACGGUUCCUUGUCUAGACAAUGUGGUGAUACACCUGUCUACUGUGAGAAAAUAGUGACUCUGCAGAGUCAAAUUCCCACAAAAAUGGUCCUGGCACUACCACAUCUGGACAGUGAGGCAAUCUUCACAGCGGAGUCCUCCCAAUAUGAGGAAUUACAGCAGCAGUACAUGGACUUGCUGCAGAUAAAGAAUGAACUAGAAGAAAGCUGUAUAAAGAAAGAUAAGCUUCUCCGUGAUGUACAACAAGCCUUAGCAGAAGAGCAGGCCAAAAGAGAGGCAGCUGAGAAGGAAAAGCAGCUUCUUGAGGAAAGGUGUAAACAGCUGCAGAAAAGGGUAGAGCUUCUAGAAAAAUGUUUCAAGGAAUCUAUGAUCCAAAUGAAAGAGCAGAUAAAGAGAGAAAGAGAAGUCCUUCUGAAAGAGCAGAAUAAGAGGAUUGAGAGGCUUGAGGCCCAAAUGAAAAACAUGACUAAUAAUCGGAAAAGCGCUAAAAACUACCCCACUCUAAUGGAAAUGGCAGAUGACAGUGAAGAAGAUAUUCCGCAGCCUUCAUGGUGGUCUAAAAUUUGUGAGCUGAUAGAAGAGUUGUGUUCCCUAAUUGUCAAGUUUUUCUCUUGUGGAUAAUUUCAGAUACCUGUGCACAGUAUUUGGACUUCUUCAAGCAACCUCUCUUACAGACCCUCACUUUUAUUUUGCAGACAGGUUUCUCCUUGAAAUCUUAGAGUUCCCAAAUCCCCCAAACUGGGCAGGGUGCCCCUUUUUUGUGCUUUCAUUGUACCUAUAGCAUGAUUUUGAAAAUGUGAAUUAUCCAAUUACUCUGUCUUGCUGAUGAUGCCUUGCCACCAGAGACUAGUUUAUCUUUAUCAUUGUCUUCUUAGCUUCUAUUUCUAUGUCCAGCACUUGAUUAGUAUCUGGAAAAUGUUAGUUGAAUAAAGUUCCCCCACGUUCUAUAUCCUCA